This is a long non-coding RNA of Triticum dicoccoides, 1215 nucleotides long. RefSeq lists it as uncharacterized. Lineage: Eukaryota; Viridiplantae; Streptophyta; Magnoliopsida; Poales; Poaceae. The transcript has 6 exons. The record is from RefSeq and is a predicted model, not a curated record.
AUCCAACAGAAAAUAUAGGCCACCUGUAGAAGUAGACUCGUUACAAAAUCUUUCCAAUAAUCUGACAAGUACAUCAUGUAUCUAACUCGGCCAAGUAAAUUACACACUCAUAUCUUGGGUUUUAGGUACAUUUAUGUUUAAAAUCGAGGCAACAAUAGCUAAACCAGUAUUUAAUCUCUUUUAUCAAAUUGUGCAGAAGCAUUCUAUAUAGGUUUAUCUGUACAAUAGCUGAUAUAUUAAAGUGAGUAGCUUGAACUACAUCACUUGUAAAGACUCCCUAAAUUAUAGACAUAUCCAAAACAAACUGCAGUACUCCUUCCUUCCCUAUAGUAUUUUAUAAGUAUAUAGUAUCAUAAAUGCUUCUUACUAUUUUGGUUACCGAUUUAAUCAAUUCGUUUGAUGUGCUUUAGUAAUAGCUGAAAGUUUUGGUGUCACCUCUAUUGUAAGGGGAGAAAGAACUAUAGGUCAAAGCCUCCUCAUAUCUGAUGCUGAUAUAUUUAGCUUUAGAAUUAUGGAUUUAGAUGUCUUCCUGAUUCCCCUCCUCUUUCAUUGCCCUACUUUUAGAGCUUCUCUUCUUUGUUUGUGCAGAUUUUGUUUCUCUAUGUCUUCCUGAUUCCCCCCUAUUUCAGUGCUCUACUUUUAGAGCUUCUCUUCUUUGUUUGUGCAGAUUUUGUUUCUCUAUGCCUACAAGACAAUCGCAGAAAAUCCAAGAAGAUUGACACGAGUGACCCUGGACCCGGAGGCUGUACCAAUCAUGUUUAUAGCACUACAAACUUGGAAUACGUCCAGUAUUUAUUAUCUUGGUAAUUCACUGCAUAUGAAGAAAGGACAACCGUUCAUGGACCCAUCCCAAGAGGUAUCGAUCUGCAGAAACUUACAUCUAGGUGUUUGUCCUGAACAUAUAUGCAUAGGAGGUGAUGGUUACAUUUAAGCUCAUCUGGUGGUGGUUGUUGCCGCUCCUUCUCUCCACGGCGUAGACCUUGUCGUCAAGCUCAUCUUCUAUCCUAAGGUGAUGAUCUUUCUGCAAGUUGCUGCCUGGGUUUAUAGUCCCGUUCGUUUCUUUACAAGACACAGAUGACAGAAAUGCCGCAAUGGGACCAGAGUUCAAAUUAGGAUGAAGAGGUGUUCUUCCAUGGUGGCCAAAGGUGAGGCGCUUCUCCGGCCAGAUCCAUGGCCACCAUGUUGCCAUCGACGUCCACCGUCUUUAACAGAUCG